This is an RNA transcript of Mus musculus (house mouse), 12317 nucleotides long. It is a transcript of the gene named coiled-coil domain containing 18, with no coding region annotated. NCBI's taxonomy places the organism in Eukaryota, Metazoa, Chordata, Mammalia, Rodentia, Muridae. The record is from RefSeq and is marked provisional. The transcript is spliced from 28 exons.
ACGCCGCUCAUCCGCGCUUCCAGACUCAUUUCCCGGCAUGCCCUGCGCCCCGCUCCCGUUCGCAGAGCCCCGCGUGGUGGGCGGGGUCGGGGCCCGGGAGGCGGGUCCCAACGGCUGCCGCGGCGGUUCGAACUCGGCGCCUCGGAGGUUCGCUGGUUCUCCUCAUCGAGAGUCAGAGGCUUCCAUGUCGUGGGCUGCGAGAGUGUCCCAGGCUUCCGAGCGCAGAGGAGGCUCGCGGUGCGCCGUGGUCUGGGGACGCUAACCCCGCCUGCGAUCUGGGUGGAAAUGGAAUUUAUCUCAUCAGACUACUGUACUAAAGACAACGACAAUGAGGAGGAAAGUUUGCUUGCAAACGUUGCUUCAUUAAGACAUGAACUCAAAAUAACAGAAUGGAGUUUGCACAAUUUAGGGGAAGAGUUAUCCAGUGUUAGUCCAAGUGAAAAUUCUGAGUAUGUCUGCAGUCCUUCAAGAUCUGAAAGGCUUAUUUUGGAAGAACUCACCCAACCUAGCCACCUGGGACGUUUGAUUUACCCACCUUAUAAGAAAGUUUGUAAAACAUCUGAUAGUACUGAUUAUCAAAAGAAAUCAAGAGAUCAGGUGUCUUUUUCAUCUGUUUCUAUGGAUCAAGAGGUUAAAAACCUUCGAGAGAAACUUCAUAAACUUAGGCAACAGAAUGCUUGUUUGGUCACACAGAAUCAUUCUUUAAUGACUAAAAUAGAAUCUGUCCACUUUGAAUUGACACAAUCAAAAGCAAAAAUUGCUAUGCUUGAGUCUGCACAAGAGCAGGCAGCCAACAUUCCAAUCUUAGAAGAACAGAUUAUAAAUUUGGAAGCAGAAGUUUCAGCUCAAGAUAAAGUUUUGAGAGAAGCAGAAGAUAAAUUAGAGCAGAGUCAGAAAAUGGUGAUUGAAAAGGAGCACAGUUUACAAGAGGCCAAAGAAGAGUGUAUAAAAUUGAAGGUGGACUUACUUGAACAGAGUAAACAAGGAAAAAGAGCUGAGCGACAAAGGAAUGAAGCCCUCUAUAAUGCAGAAGAGCUGAGUAAGGCCUUCCAGCUGUACAAAGAAAAAGUGGCUGAAAAACUGGAAAAGGUUCAAGAUGAAGAAGAAAUAUUAGAGAGAAAUCUUAGUAACUGUGAAAAGGAAAAUAAAAGGCUUCAAGAAAAGUGUAAUCUGUAUAAAAGUGAACUUGAAAUUUUGAAAGAGAAAUUCAGGGAGUUAAAAGAAGAACAUUACAGUGGAAAAGAAAAAUUAAUGAUUAUGGCAAUGAAAAACUCAGAAGUCAUGUCACAGUUAACGGAAUCUAGACAAUGUAUUCUGAAGCUAGAGAGGGAGUUAGAGGACAAAGAUGAAAUAGUACGAGAAAAGUUUUCCUUAUUAAAUGAAAAUCGAGAAUUGAAGGUUCGUGUUGCAACACAGAAUGAACGACUAGAGUUGUGUCAGCAGGACAUUGAUAAUUCAAGGGUGGAACUGAAGAGUUUAGAAAAACUGAUAACCCAGAUACCAUUAAAAAGAGAAAUAGUUGGCUUUAGGUCAUCUCUUUGUAAGCACCAGAGGAGUAGUGUUUCUGACAAGGAGGACAAAUGCAUUGGCUGCUGUGAGGCAAAUAAACUCAUGAUUUCUGAAUUGAGGAUUAAGCUUGCAAUAAGAGAGGCUGAAAUUCAAAAGCUUCAUGCAAAUCUGACUGUGAACCAGCUCUCUCAAAAUGUUGCUAAUGAUAGUCAAGAAUGUGGUAAAGUAAACACGUUAGAAACAGAACCGGUAAAAUUAGGAGGUAGUCAAGUCGAAAGUAUAAAGGAUGGAGAUCAGCAGACUGUGAACAAGCAGUAUGAAAGAGAGAAGCAGCGACUUGCUACCGGGAUAGAAGAACUGCGUGCUAAGCUGACACAGAUAGAAGCUGAGAACUCUGACUUGAAGGUUAACAUGGCACACAGAACUAGUCAGUUUCAGCUAAUUCAAGAGGAACUACUAGAGAAAGCUUCAAAUGCUAGCAAACUAGAAAAUGAAAUGACAAAGAAGUGUUCUCAACUUUUAAUUCUAGAGAAACAGCUAGAAGAAAAAAUUAUUGCAUAUUCUUCUAUUGCUGCAAAAAAUGCAGAACUUGAACAAGAACUUAUGGAGAAAAAUGAAAAAAUAAGAAGCCUAGAAUCAAAUAUCAACACAGAACAUGAGAAAAUUUGUUUUGCUUUUGAAAAAGCAAAGAAAAUUCAUCUUGAACAGCAUAAGGAAAUGGAAAAACAGAUUGAGCAACUCGAAACUCAACUGGAGAAAAGAGACCAACAGUUUAAAGAACAAGAAAAGACUAUGUCCAUUUUGCAGCAAGAUAUACUGUGUAAACAGCAUCACCUUGAAUCACUAGAUAGACUCUUGACAGAAAGUAAAGUGGAAAUGGAAAAAGAAAAUAUGAAGAAAGAUGAAGCUUUAAAAGCAUUGCAGAUUCAUGUAUCUGAAGAAACAAUCAAGGUCAGACAACUGGAUUCAGCGUUAGAAAUCUGUAAGGAAGAGCUUGCUUUGCAUUUGAAUCAAUUGGAAAGAAAUAAGGAAAAAUUUGAAAGACAGCUGAAGAAGAAAUCUGAAGAGGUAUAUUGUUUGCAGAAAGAGCUAAAGAUAAAGACUCAUAAUCUUGAAGAGACGAGUGAACAAAAUGCCAUCCUACAGCACACUCUUCAGCAGCAGCAGCAGAUGUUACAGCAAGAGACCAUGAGAAAUGGAGAGCUAGAAGAUACUCAGAGUAAACUUGAAAAACAGGUAUCAAAGCAAGAACAAGAGCUUCAGAAACAAAGGGAAAGUUCAACAGAAAAGUUGAGAAAAAUGGAAGAGAAAUAUGAAACAGCCAUACGUGAAGUGGAUUUGAAAAGGCAAAAAAUUAUCGAGCUAACUGGUACUGCCAGGCAAGCCAAACUUGAGAUGGAUCAGUACAAAGAGGAGCUGUCUAAAAUGGAAAAAGAAAUAAUUCAUUUGAAGCGAGAUGGGGAAAAUAAAUCCAUGCAGCUUUCUCAGUUAGAUAUGGUUUUAGAUCAAACAAAAACAGAACUAGAAAAGACAACAAAUUCAGUGAAGGAGUUAGAAAGGUUACAACACCACACAGAAACUGAAUUAACAGAAACCAUGCAGAAACGGGAAGCUCUCGAAAACGAACUACAGAAUGCUCAUGGAGAAUUGAAAAGUACCUUAAGACAACUACAGGAAUUGAGAGAUGUAUUACAAAAGGCUCAGUUAUCAUUAGAGGAAAAAUACACUACAAUAAAGGAUCUCACUGCUGAACUGAGGUUACACAUUUGGAUAUGACUAUUCGUGAACACAGAGGAGAAAUGGAGCAAAAAAUAAUCAAAUUGGAGGGUACCCUGGAAAAAUCAGAAUUAGAACUUAAAGAAUGCAACAAACAGGUAGAAAGCUUAAAUGAAAAGUUGCAAAAUGCCAAAGAACAGCUUCGAGAAAAGGAGUUUAUAAUGCUCCAAAAUGAACAGGAGAUAUCACAACUGAAAAAGGAAAUCGAAAGAACACAGCAAAGGAUGAAAGAAAUGGAAAGUGUUAUAAAAGAACAGGAAGACUACAUUGCUACCCAGUACAAGGAGGUCAUUGAUUUGGGGCAAGAAUUGAGGCUAACCCAGGAGCAAAUGCAGAACACUCAUUCAGAACUGGUGGAGGCUCGUCGCCAAGAAGUCCAAGCACAGAGGGAAAUAGAAAGGCUUGCUGGUGAACUGGAGGAUAUAAAACAACUCUCUAAAGAGAAGGAAGCUCAUGGAAAUCGUUUGGCUGAAGAACUGGGGGCUUCUCAAGUACGUGAAGCUCAUUUAGAAGCAAGAAUGCAAGCAGAAAUAAAGAAAUUAUCCUCAGAAGUAGACUCUCUGAAAGAAGCUUAUCAGAUAGAGAUGAUUUCACAUCAAGAGAACCAUGCAAAGUGGAAGCUUUCUGCUGAAUCUCAGAAGACGUCUGUUCAACAACUGAAUGAACAACUAGAGAAAGCGAAACAAGAAUUGGAAGAAGCUCAGGAUACUGUGAGCAAUUUGCAUCAACAAGUUCAAGACAGGAAUGAAGUCAUUGAAGCUGCAAAUGAAGCAUUACUUAUUAAAGAAUCAGAAUUAACCAGAUUGCAAGCCAAAAUUUCUGGACAUGAAAAGACAGAAGACACCAAGUAUCUACCAGCUCCGUUUACAACUCUAACAGAAAUUAUACCUGAUAGUCAACAUCCAAAUUUUGCCAAACAUUCUCAGAUAUCACUUUUCAAAUGCAGAAAACUACGUCGGUCUAUUAGUGCCAGUGACCUGAGUUUCAAAAGUCAUGGUAAUGACGAUCUCUCUGAAGAAUUGCUACAGGACUUAAAAAAAAUGCAAUUUGAGCAGACUUCAGCGAUAGAAAGUGGUCAUAAAGACCUACCUUUAACCCAUUCAGAGUCAUUUAAACCUCUCCCGUAUAACCUAGAAGAUGAUAGUUCUGAAAGUAAUGACUUCAGUACUCUUAGUGGAAUGCUGAGAUACAUAAACAAAGAAGUGAGACUGCUGAAAAAAUCUUCUCUGCAAACAGCUACUGGUUUAAGUCAGGGAGGAAAAUUGUAAUUAAAAGAAGAUGUCUAUGUCAUGAAAAAUGGAAUUGUUGGUACUGUGCUGUUUGUUAUGUGUAUGUAGUGAAUACUCAUUGAAGCUGUUAUUUUAUUAUUUUUAAUAAAUUUUUAUAUUUUAAUAUUUUAAAGAAACACUUCUAAAAUAUAACUAUAUUUGUAGUAAAAAUUAAGUCAAUUUAUUGAUUAUUUUGGUGAAAAUUACUGUUUUCUUCGUCUUUGUCUUACAUAACAAUAAUGACUAAAAUAUUUAAAAGUACAUUUAGUAUUUGCACUUUUAGUCAUGCUAUUAUAUUUCUUGCUAUUUUUAAAAUAUUUACUUGUAACAACACUUUUCUGAAUUUACAAAUCCUUCUGUGAUAAGUUCUUAAGACUUGAUGGGUGUUUGCUGUUUAUCAUUUACUAUUUUAGAUUCUUUAUAUUUUGAAACUCAUUUAAUCCUCAAAACAGCCUAAUGAAGUAGAUAUGGUAUUAUUUGUGUUUUUAAAUAGAAUUAUUUAACAUGGUAGAACUAUAUGUUCUAAAGAAAGUUAAUCACUGCAAGUAUUUUUGGGUUGGUGACUCCAUUUAUACAUGGUUAGCAUUAAGCGUUGAACAUUGAGGCCUUAAUAUGUUACUAGUCAUCAUGUGAGUGCUGAGAGUCAAACAGAGGUCCUCUGGAAGAGGAGCCAGUGCUCAUGGAACCAUCUCACCAGCCCUAUCCAGUCACAUGUCAGUAGUACCAUCUGAGUAACACCAAUUUAGAAAUUCUAGAACCAAAACAUACAUUUGAAAGUUGAAAACACCCAGUGUGAGCUUAACAGAAGCAAUGACAAUUGGCAAUGGCAGAAAUAUUAGUUGACCUAAAGACAGAUAAAUAGAAAAUAUUCAGACUGAGGAACAAGAAGAAAAAUGAUAGAAUAUAUAUGAAAACAACAUACAGCAUAUAUGGAGACCAUUAAGGUUAAGAAGAGAAAUGGGGUAGAAAAUCAGGGUAUUUAUAAUUAUAGCUGAAAGUACCUCAAACUUAUUGAAACAGAACCUGUAGUUCAGUAAAGCCUAAUAGGACAAAUACAUACACAUACACUAUAACACACACACAAACUCCUACUUAUAUAGUAGUAAAAUACUGGAAACCAAAAAUAUAAAGAAUAACUUAGAAGCACAUUUCAAAAGAUUUAUGUAGGAAGGCAGCAUCCAAAAGAAGACUGAUUUCUAAUUAUUAAUUAUAAACAAUUUGGUUUUAUUUUUACUUUUAACUUUUUUGACACAGUCUUAUUAAUGUACUCCUGGCUGGCCUGGAACUUGCUGUUUACACCGGGUUGUCCUUGAACUCAUAGAAAUUCACCUGCCCCUGCCUCUAGAUUAAAGGCAUGUGCCACCAUGUCCAGCAAUGUGAUGUUUUUGUUUGUUGGUUGGUUUGUUGGUUGGUUGGUUGGUUGGUUGGUUUGGUUUUUAGAGACAGGGUAGUUCUGGCUGUCCUGGAACUCACUCUGUAGACCAGGCUUGGCCUCGAACUCAGAAAUCCGCCUGCCUCUGCCUCCCAAGUGCUGGGAUUAAAGGCGUGUGCCACCACACCCAGCCAAUUUGAUGUAUUUUAAAUAGAAGAAAACUAAUAUGCUGCAAACAGUAGGAUUGAUCAAACAAUAAGCAUAAGAAAACUUCAGGGCUAUGUUAGUAUCAGACAAAGUGUACACCCAAAAGAUGUGUUGUCAUCAUAGACAAAGGAUGUUUCCUAAUUGUACCUGAAGAUAUUCUCUUAAAUGUAUACAUCUCAAACACCAGACUUUAGCAGAAUUAGAAAGAAAGAAAGAAAGAAAGUCCACAACCAUAGUAGAAAAGUUUAACCUCUGCUUUUUAGUAAUUAAAAAAAUAAUAAACUGAAAAAUAUAUAAAUUUGGAUCCUAUCAACAUUAAUUUAGGGAAUAUUAGGUACACCUUUCAUGCCUCCCAUUAUUUUGACAAAUGAAAUGGAGUUAAAAACCUAGCUAUUAGUCAUUAAUAGUCUCCCAACCAAAAGAAGCCCAGGACAGAUGGGUUUAGUGCAGAGUUCUAUCAGACCUUCAAAGAAAACCUAAUUCCAACUCUCCUCAAACUAUUCCACAAAAUAGAAACAGAAGGGACUCUACCCUAUUCAAUCUAUGAAGCCACAAUUACUCUGAUACCUAAACCACAGAAAGACCCAACAAAGAAGAGAACUUCAGACCAAUUUCCCUUAUGAAUAUCGACGCAAAAAUACUCAAUAAAGUUAUUGCUAACCCAAUCCGAGAACACAUCAAAACGAUAAUCCAUCCUGUCCAAAUAGGCUUCAUCCCAGGGAUGCAGGGAUGGUUUAAUAUACGGAAAUCCAUCAACGUAAUCCAUUAUAAAAACAAAUUCAAAGACAAAAACCACAUGAUCAUCUCGUUAGAUGCUGAGAAAGCAUUUGACAAAAUCCAACACUAUUCAUGAUAAGUUUUGGAAAGAUCAGGAAUUCAAGGCCCAUACCUAAACAUAAUAAAAAAAUAAUAUACAGCAAACCAGUAGCCAACAUCAAAGUAAAUGGAGAAAAGCUGGAAGCAAUCCCAUUAUAAUCUGUGUUCUUAAUUCCCUUUUGUUUCUUUUAAGAACAAGAGACUUAAGGAAAACCACUGGCCCUUUCUACUAUGUGAGGACACAGAAAGAAGUUAUUGUCUGUGAACCAGAAAGUACACAUUCACCAGAUACCAGUCUGCCAGUCAGUGCCUUAGCUUUUCUAAUCCCCAGAACUGUGAGAAAAAACAAAACAAAAAACCAUUCCUGUUGUUGAAAAGCCUUCCAGUUUGUGGUAUUUUUUAUUAUAACAGCCAGAAUGCACCAAAACAUUAAAAUUAUGUGUUUCAAUUUUUCCAAAACAAAAAGAACAAUAAAAAUAUUUUUUCCUUAGUUUCCUAUCUAGUCUAGCUACCCAUCUCGUCAUAUAUAUACUUUAAGUGGACUGGGUUCUUGAAAGAUAAAUAAGUUUGCUGUUUCUCUUUCUUUUGCUUUCACUCAGUGAUGUCUUUUUUUAAGAAACAACCUUUAAAAUACCAUCUUAGAUUGUUCUCAUUAGGAUCCUCAGGUGACAACAAGGUAUUUUGAAACAUUCAAGUGGCAGUACAGUACUGAGCACUAUGAGCAAAAUGGAAGCGUUUGUCUUCACAAGUCUUACAGUCUGCUGAUACUCAGUAUGGACAAGUGCCAUUUGGGAAAUUGCAAGAUGUUGUAAGAGUUUGUAUCUAAGAUAUCAGAAAAAGAUUCCUGGAAGAAAUUACUUUUAUAUUAACGAAGACUAAUUAAAUUUGGGCAAAGGGCAGAGAUCUGGGGAGACCAGAAAGAUGAGGAGAGUGACUAGGUGAUGUGUAAGAAUGUGGAGGAAAUAAUAAGUAGGCAGGGACACAUAACAAAAUAUCAAAACACAACAAAAGAUGGAAGAAGCUAGCUGGCACAGGUGAUUCUUUAUUCUACAACUUAGCCUGCCCCCUCUCUCUCCUCUUCCUCUUCCUCCUCCUCUUCUUUCUUCUCUUCCUCCUCCUCCUCUCUCUUCUCCUUCUUUUUUUCCCCUCCUUUUGGAGACAGGGUUUGUUUCUCUGUGUAGCCCAGGAACUCACUCUGUAGACCAGACCAAGCUGUCCUUGAACUUAGGUAUCUGCCUUCCCUGCCACCCAGGUACUGGGACUAAAGAUGCUAACUGGCACAAAUGAAGGUUUUUGGGGUUUUUUUGUUUUGUUUUUGUUGUUGUUGUUGUUGUUUGGUUUUUGGUUUUUUUUUUUUUACAAUUCAACUUGCCAUUUUCCCCCUUACCUUUCCUUUUAAUAACAAAAACAAUUCCAGCUGCCAUUCUCUUAUGCCUAAACGAUUCUAGUUCUCUGGGUGGUUGUCUUUUCCACAAGUCCUUAGAAGAGCUUUAUAAUUCCCAAAUCAGUCUUGUUUCACUUGACACCAUGGCAGAGGAACAGAAUUGGCUAUAUACAAUCUAGAUAUUUAUAUUAUAGCUAAAAGUUAUAUAGGGUUGCAUACAUGAUGAAUGAGAAUAUAUUCUUGUGUUUUCAGUAAAUUUUUAACUGUUUCACUUUGUUCUGAUUUUAUGAUUGCCAUAUGAUCAUAUACUUGUGUGUAGGAAUGCAACUUUUGCUUUAGUAAAAUGAGAAUGUAAACAUGGUGGUUUGAGUUCUCCAGUCUUGGGCACUUGAAUUCUUAGUCCCCAGUUGGUGGCUUUGUUUGGGUAGGUAUAGGAGAUGUGGCCUUGCUGGAGGAAGUAUGUCACUGUGGGAAGGGUUUGACAUUUCAAUAGCCAUGUGUUGUUCGGUUUGCUCUCUCUGCUUUCUGUUUGUAGUUUCAGAUGUGAGCUCUCAGAUGUUCCUGCCCCCAUGUCUACUUCUUGCUGCUACAACUCCCUGCCAUGAUGGACUCUGAUCUCUCUGAAACAAUAAGCUCAGAUAAACUCUUCUAUAUUUUGUCUUGGUUUUGGUGUUUUAUCACAGCAGUAGAAAAGUAACUAAUAAGUUGGGUGUGGUGGCGCACGUCUUUAAUACCAGCACUCGGGAGGCAGAGGCAGGUGGAUUUCUGAGUUCGAGGCCAGCCUGGUCUACAGAGUGAGUUUCAGGACAGCCAGGGCUACACAGAGAAACCCUGUCUCAGAAAAAAAAAAAAAGAAAAGAAAAAAAGAGUAACUAAUACAGUAGUAAUGGACCAAUAUGAAUUUUUAGUUUUAAGACAAUUUUAUUUGGGGCUGAAGAGAUGGCUCAGCGGUUAAGAGCACUCACUGACUGCUCUUCCAGAGGUCCUGAGUUCAAUUCCCAGCAACAACCAUAUGGUGGCUUAAAACCAUCUGUAAAGGGAUUUGAUGUCCUCUUUUGGUAUGUCUGAAGAGAGCAACAGUGUAAAUUUUACACUUAUGUAGAAUUAUAAAUAAACAAACAAACAAAUCUUUUUUAAAAUGUUUAAAUUUUUUUAUUUUUAAAUUGAUGGCUAUCACCAGAAAGGAAUAAAGCCCUAUACCUAUUACUACUCAAUAAUGGAAAGCAAAAUGGGUUCAUAAGCUCAAAUCUGUAUGAAAUUAAGCAAAGUUUGAAAGAAAACAAACGUCAGAAGUAAGGGAGAUGUUUAAUCAAGCUGAAAACAUAGAUGUUGCAAUAGAAACAGGAAAAUUCACUUUACUCUGUCAUACAUCAUGUUGCUGGGGAGUCUGUAGCACCCAUUUCAGAAAGAUGGUGUGGCUACAUUUCUCUAUAACUUCCACCACAGGUUGGGUGACAGACAGAUUCCAGGAUCUCUCUGGACAGCCAGACUAGCUGAAUCACAAGCACGCCCUUGAGAGAACUGUAGUGUUCCUGCUCUCCUUUCUCUGCUUCCUGGUUUGAAAUGUGAAAGUUUGCUGGCUUAUGUACUCAUAAAACGCUCUCCUCCCCAGAGACCCAAACAAGUGGGGCUAUCCAAUGUUGGACCAGGAUUCUGAGUUCCUAGUGACAGAGCUUGUCCUUUUUUACUUAUAUAUGACUGUGUGAUUAACUGCCAUAGGUGUACAGAUGUUAACAGAGGCCAGGAGUAAGACUCUUCGGAACUGGAAUUGUGAGCUACCUGAUGAGUGUGCUGGGAUCUAAACUCAGGUCCUCUAGAAGGGCAGCAGAUGUCUUAACUGCCGAGUCAUCUCUCUAGCAUGAGGGGUUUGUUCUUAAAAUCUCUUUCGAGGUCUAUGGCAAGGAUUACACAGGAGGUUCCCUAGUGCUAGUUUUGGCAGCUGUCUUGGUUUGGGUUCGUUUCUGUGAAGAGACACCAUGACCACAGUAACUCUUAUAAAGAAAAAUAUUUGAUUGGGGCUGGUUUACAGUUUCAGAGGGUUCCCAUUAUGUUAAUAAUGUUCCUGCCCCCAUGUCUACUUCUUGCUGCUACAACUCCCUGCCAUGAUGGACUCCAUUAUUUACAUGAUGGGAAAGAUGGCAGUGUGAGGGAAAGAUAUGGGACUAGAGGAACUGAGAGUUCUACAUCUUGAUCUGCAGGCAACAGAAGGCAGUUGUAUUACACUGGGUGUAGUUUGAGCAUAUACAGUCUCAAAGCCUACCUCACUGUAGGCUUUCUUCAAAAAGGCCACACCUCCUAAUAGUGUCACACCCUAUGAGCCAAGUAUUCAAACACAUGAAUCUAUGGAGGCCAUUCCUAUUCAAUCAAUCACCACAGCACAGAUGCUAAAAUAGGAGUUUAGCCGGCCGCUGACCAGUUAUUGUUGCGUGCCUGUCCAUUCUGGUUCUUUGUCACACUUACUCACUUUAACAAAAAGGCAGGUCAAAAUCCCCCAUGAAGUUAUUGGCAUGCUGUAUCAUGAAGGAGUACACCUGGCUUCCUGAAGUCAUACAUGUUACUUUCUACUUUUGGAAUAGACCAGAACUAGUUAAUCUAAUUAAAAACUAUUCUGAAUAUAUGUGUAUAUAUGCAUAUAUGUGUGUGUACACAUAUGUAUGCAUAGAUUCAUAUGUGUGUGUAUGUAUAUACAUGUUGUUCCAGGAAAACAAUGCUUUUCUCAAUCAGAAAUUUGCUCACUUAAUCUUUUUUUUUAAAUCACUUUCAUAAGUUCACAUGAAGCUAACAGUAACAUUAUUGAGGAAUGGUAAGCAUGAACCAAUAAAAGCUAAUGAAAGAGUUCCAGGACAGCCAGGGCUAUACAGAGAAACUCUGUCUCAAAAAACCAAAAAAAAAAAAAAAAGCUAAUGAAAAAUAUUGUGUAAGUCAUAUUAAGAGAAUAUCAUUUAAAAAGUGAAAUUAAAUUUUUAGCCCUACUAAGGUUUGAGUAGAAGAAAUUCCCAACAUAUAUAAGAAAAAAUACACAUUUUUGCAAAACAUACAGAUUUUGCUGAUGGGAAGCAAUACAGAAUCAUAGAUUCUGCUUUCCUUUCAUUUCUGUUGCUAUAAGUAAAGAGAGCUGGGGGAGAAAAACGGUUUAUUUGGUGUUCAAUUCCAGGUUACAGUUAUUGCAAUAAAGUCAUAGAGGUAGAAGCUUGAGACAGCUGGUCACGUCACAUCCACAGUCAAGGGUAAGGAGAAAUGAAUAAACACACACCCAUGUUGCCAAUUUACUCUUUCUGCUUUGGCUUUUAGCUCUUCCCAUUCUGUAUAGUUUAGGAUCCCCUGCACAGGGAAUGCUGCUGCCCACAAAAGACGAGUUCUUCCUACAUAAUUAGCAAUGGAGACAAUUCCCCAUUCCAAACAUACCCACAGAACAACUUGAUCAAGAGUAAUUUCUCAACUGAAACUCUUCCCCAGUAAUUCCAGGUUGUGGCAAGUAGACAUUUAAAACUAACCAUCCUAGUUACAAAAACAGCCUGUCUUUACUCAUGGAAAACAGAUGGUGUGAAUAUCAAUGUCUGACAAGGCUUGCUUAGGCUGUAAUGAACAGGUAUGGACAAAUAAUUGACAUUUGUGGUUUCCUGAAUCUUGAGCUUGCAUUAUCUGGGCCAGACAAACAGGUCCUUUAAACAGAAGGAGGAAAACAAAAAACAAUACAUCAAGGUAAGUCAGUUCCAGUCCAGACAUGUAAAAGAUUUGACAUUAUUGUUUUAGAAAGGUGAUGGUGGGGCUGGUGAGAUGGCUCAGUGGGUAAGAGCACCCGACUGCUCUUCCGAAGGUCCAAAGUUCAAAUCCCAGCAACCACAUGGUGGCUCACAACCAUCUGUAACAAGAUCUGACUCCCUCUUCUGGAGUGUCUGAAGACAGCUACAGUGUACUUACAUAUAUUAAUAAAAUAAAUCUUUAAAAAAAAAGGCGAUGGUAUCUUAAGGGGUUAUGAUUUUAA